Molecule: long non-coding RNA, 228 nt
Filed under: Elaeis guineensis (African oil palm)
Lineage: Eukaryota; Viridiplantae; Streptophyta; Magnoliopsida; Arecales; Arecaceae
Description: long non-coding RNA (EGUI_LNC075989)
Source: RNAcentral
CUGCAUGGCCUGCACUGCUUCGGUGAGGCCUCUGAUUUGCUGAACCAGCAGGUCGAACUACUCCAUGCCGACCGCCAUUGCCGGAGGAGGAGGAGGAGCCUGAAAAAUUGAAGGUGAGGCCAGAGCCUAAGAUCUGACUGCAGAGGCCGUGGAUCGCCUGGUGGAUGCCUUACGGGGAGGCAUCAGGUGGAGAUCUAGUAGGAGAAGGAGAAAAGAAUGUUGGAGAAA